Molecule: ribosomal RNA, 497 nt
Filed under: uncultured bacterium
Lineage: Bacteria
Description: partial 16S ribosomal RNA
Rfam family: Bacterial small subunit ribosomal RNA
Source: RNAcentral
GAUGAACGCUGGCGGCGUGCCUAAUACAUGCAAGUCGAGCGAACAGACGAGGAGCUUGCUCCUUCGACGUUAGCGGCGGACGGGUGAGUAACACGUAGGUAACCUACCUAUAAGACUGGGAUAACUUCGGGAAACCGGAGCUAAUACCGGAUAAUAUUUCGAACCGCAUGGUUCGAUAGUGAAAGAUGGCUUUGCUAUCACUUAUAGAUGGACCUGCGCCGUAUUAGCUAGUUGGUAAGGUAACGGCUUACCAAGGCAACGAUACGUAGACGACCUGAGAGGGUGAUCGGCCACACUGGAACUGAGACACGGUCCAGACUCCUACGGGAGGCAGCAGUAGGGAAUCUUCCGCAAUGGGCGAAAGCCUGACGGAGCAACGCCGCGUGAGUGAUGAAGGUCUUCGGAUCGUAAAACUCUGUUAUUAGGGAAGAACAAACGUGUAAGUAACUGUGCACGUCUUGACGGUACCUAAUCAGAAAGCCACGGCUAACUACGUA